RNAcentral lists this transfer-messenger RNA (412 nucleotides) under Mycoplasma capricolum. RNAcentral describes it as "Standard tmRNA". It matches the Rfam family "transfer-messenger RNA". Rfam says of the family: Bacterial tmRNA, also known as 10Sa RNA or SsrA, is named for its dual tRNA and mRNA-like properties. Its role is to liberate the mRNA from a stalled ribosome. RNAcentral also lists the same sequence under 1 other name. Lineage: Bacteria; Bacillati; Mycoplasmatota; Mollicutes; Mycoplasmatales; Mycoplasmataceae. The record is from RNAcentral.
GGGGAUGUCAUGGAUUUGACAGGAUAUCUUUAGUACAUAUAAGCAGUAGUCUUGUAGACUAUAAAUACUACUAGGUUUAAAAAAACGCAAAUAAAAACGAAGAAACUUUUGAAAUGCCAGCAUUUAUGAUGAAUAAUGCAUCAGCUGGAGCAAACUUUAUGUUUGCUUAAUAACUACUUAGUUUAGUUAUAGUAUUUCACGAAUUAUAGAUAUUUUAAGCUUUAUUUAUAACCGUAUUACCCAAGCUUAAUAGAAUAUAUGAUUGCAAUAAAUAUAUUUGAAAUCUAAUUGCAAAUGAUAUUUAACCUUUCGUUAAUUUUAGUUAAAUAUUUUAAUUAGAAAAUUAACUAAACUGUAGAAAGUAUGUAUUAAUAUAUCUUGGACGCGAGUUCGAUUCUCGCCAUCUCCACCA